Molecule: long non-coding RNA, 294 nt
Filed under: Nicotiana tabacum (common tobacco)
Lineage: Eukaryota; Viridiplantae; Streptophyta; Magnoliopsida; Solanales; Solanaceae
Description: long non-coding RNA (NTAB_LNC016102)
Source: RNAcentral
UGUCAAACGCGUUUAUGCCAUAUCUAAUCGAGCCUAAAUAAGGUGUCGUUGGCAAGACCAACGACACGUUAUUUAUAGCCCAUUUCGUGUAACCAUCGAUUUUGUUCUGAGUAUUGAGCAGGAUGAUACGACGAUGGUUCUGAGGUGGUGGCUUAGGUGAUCCCAUUAAGGCAAAAAUUUUGUUAGAAAAUGACUUACUAUGGUUAUAAUCAUUCCAAAGGGGUGCUAUAGGUGGUGGUAAAGUUGGAAAUUUGGAUGCAGAAUUUGGAAGAUAGUUUAAUAAGGUGAGGCCUU